Scophthalmus maximus (turbot) is the source of this 2903-nucleotide long non-coding RNA. RefSeq lists it as uncharacterized. Lineage: Eukaryota; Metazoa; Chordata; Actinopteri; Pleuronectiformes; Scophthalmidae. The record is from RefSeq and is a predicted model, not a curated record. The transcript is spliced from 3 exons.
UGUGGAGUGUGUUGGACAGGGAACGGAGAAGGAGAGUGUUGCGAGCGACAGGGGAGAAGGAAAACGGAAUCAGCCAUCACACUAGGUGUCAUGUCUCAUUUUGGAAUGAUGCUCUUCAAAUACUUCAUCACCGGCCUUCUCAGUUUCACUGCAGACGAUGGCUGACCUCAUUGAGUGACCUCAGAAAUCACAGAUCAAAGUUGUUGGGUUUCUGGCUGGUCAGGUUAAUCAGAGGACCACCCCGAAGAACCAAUCAGGGACAACACUUUGUGAGGCAACUGCUUUCAACAUCGGGGGCCAACCAGGAACAGAUGGACAGGGAGAUAAACCCCCCUACAAGCAAAAGCAGUGGUGCAACUGCCGCUCAAAAUCCCAGCGUGUUGAUGUGUGCAAGUGCAGAGGAAGGAGUAGAGGGGGAGUCUAGAGAGGGGGUUGUGUUAUGGCUCUGAGGGUUCUACUCCUUGAUAUGAGUGACUGACACUCCUCCAACAUCUGUUCCUCAGAAAACAUUCUCUCACUCACAAUCCUCCACCAACAAUCUCCCUGACUCAGUCUCUGCCCCCAACCCCAACACCACACCACACAGACACACACACACACACACACACACACACACAGACACACGCACACACACAUACACACGCAAACACAGUUAGAUGAUCUUUUCAUUUUACAGUAAAGCCAAGAGGAAUGGGGAAAUUAGAUUAGGGCAGAAUAAGAUACUUCACUUAUGAUGUGGCUUUCUGCAGGCUUCUCUGCAUUGUUGACAGAGGAGGCUGCAGACGGCACUGAUGCCUUUACCCUUCUCUUCUCCUUCCUCCGCUGCUCUGUUGCCCCCCCUCCAACCUGAACAUCCACUCCUCAACUCCUCACUCAAUGAUCAGGUUACUCUCCGUCCAUCAGUGGAUAUGGGGUGGAGAAGAAGGGUUAUACUGAUCAAUGGCAGGAAACCAGAUGAUGGCAAAGGAUGAUGUUCUAUUUCUCGCUUAUUUCUGCAGACUGCACAAAGCAUGCAUAGCUUUCCCUUUGGGCCGAAUGCAUACCUAUUUACCUGCCUGCCCCUUAAGUGAAUGACUAAUAAGAUACAAAAUUAGAAUAUGCUGUAUAUUUCUCCCAGCUUUAUGCAAAUAUCUAACAUAUUGCUCUCAGUCUCCAGGGAACCACCCGUGAAUAUACUUAAAGGGGCAUGAGGGAGAACCACAAACACACACACCUCAUACCCAAUAUAUGUGUAAUUAGUGCAGAAAGAGAAAAAAGCUGUCUCAUUUGAGUUUAUUAAUUCGUGGUAUUGCUAUUAGCUUUUAUCACCAGCAUUUUAUGGCCAACAAGGCUGCUGCUCAUUCCUGGAAGCACUUAUUAGCAAAAUUAGUAUUUGCCAGUUAUUUAAAUCUAUCCCUCCAGAUCAAAUUAGGCAGUAUGAGAUCCUGGCAGAGUUAUGACACAAACACUGAUAAUACAAUUGAAAAAGGUGGAGACUUCAUUAUGUUGAAAGAUUAUGCUAAACAUGAUCUCACUGCUUUGUGCAUCAAAGAUUUAUUGGAUUUUUUUAAACAGAUAUGAUAUGAAUGAUCACUUUUGCGUUUGAGUGUGUCAUCAUAUGUGUGUGGAGGUGCACUACUUGUGCAUGGGUACAAGCAUAAAAAAGUGCGUUUCUGAUCUAUACAGUGCAGACUACUGAGCUUUCUUGCCACCACAGCUAACUCUUAACUCCUGUCAAAACAGAACUUUAAAUUAAAUUAAGACUCCAUGCUGCAGGCCCUGCUGAGCCCCCCAACCAAUGCCUUUAACACUCUACACUGCUCUGGAACACACACACACACACACACACACACUAUUCACAGACGUUUCAUCCAAAGACGCACAGAGAUCAACAAUGACAACAAGCUCAGAAUAUAAAUAUAAUGUUCAACUAAUUUAAUGACAACCAGCUAAAUAAAGAAUGAUUUUUAAAAACACCAGAGAAUAUAUAAAAUAUGAUGAAGCUCUGAAGCUGUUAAUUCACUGCAGCUGAAAUGGACAAUGAUGAACCUCUACUGUGUCCAGAACGCUUGGAAGACUACAUUGUAAGGAUGUAUACUGCCCUGUUUAAAGAGUUGUUAAAACAUUUUUUGGGUGGGAAGUUGAACUAAAGCAUGUGAACUGAUGGUGUGUCUAGAAGGUUCAAGGGUCUGUGGCUACAAGGGGGAUGAAAAAAUGUAUAUAAUGCCACAGAAACAAAAUCGUCAUUUUGAAUUUAAACAUUUUCGUCAUGAGGGAAUUUCCUGUUAUAAGGAUUUCUAAAAUACAAAUAAUCCUUUUACUACCAUAUGGGCAUUCAUAUUUGGCAAUGCUGAUGUAUAUUUAAUCUAUUUGGAAAUAAAAGCAUAAACUCUUAGUGUCAAAUUGUUGUCAAUGUGUGCACCAGAAAAAAACUAUUCAAAGACAAUAAAAUAGCAUAUCUCAGAUUCAGUUACCUGUAGAUUUGAAAUAUGAGCCACACUGUGUUUGAAAACAGCAUAGAUAGCUUAUAUAUUGCUGCACACCAAGGUGAUUUAUCUGUAUCUGUGUUUUGUCCUCUGCAAUUUUGUUCAUGUUGCAUGAGUGUCAAUGCUCUGUGUUUUAUCCAACGAUUACUCUCCAACUUGUUCUGUGUGUUGUUGGCAGUUCAAGUUGCUCAAUUAGAAAUCAUGUUAAAACAAUAUUGUCUAACAGAGAGGGUCAUUAAUCAUGAGGUUGACAAGAGCUCUGGACAUUGUUGACAAGUAAUGAGUGUGUUACUAACCAUUAAUACAUUUGGGCUGCUGUUAGACAGGUGGAUAAUUAGUACAUUGAUGAAGGUAAAAAAAAAAGUUCUGUAUGGCAUUACUUCUGGUGAUUAUGUGUCAUUACUUAAUUGAGAGGCACAAUAAAAGGCAGGAGAUUCA